This is a non-coding RNA of Gossypium hirsutum (cotton), 87 nucleotides long. The record is from Rfam. Lineage: Eukaryota; Viridiplantae; Streptophyta; Magnoliopsida; Malvales; Malvaceae.
CACGUCAGCACGCUUUGCUGACGUGGACACAAAUCGCGCUCCAGAGGACGCGAUUUGUUGCCAUGUCAGCAAAGCGCGCAGACGUGG